Molecule: non-coding RNA, 71 nt
Organism: Deinococcus sp. LM3
Lineage: Bacteria; Thermotogati; Deinococcota; Deinococci; Deinococcales; Deinococcaceae
Source: Rfam
CAGUCGCCCCCAGAGGGGCUGCACUCCGGACGAGAGCACCGCCGUACCCGGUCAAGACAAGACGGCGCGAC